UACAGAGACCUCAAGCGUUAUCCGGAUUCAUUGGGCGUAAAGCGUCCGCAGGUGGUUUGAAAAGUUAAUAGUCAAAUCUUGAGGCUUAACUUCGAGGCUGCUAUUAAUACUAUCAAACUAGAGACUGGGAGAGGCAAGCGGAACUAUCGGUGUAGUCGUAAUAAGCGCUGAUAUCGAUAGGAACACCAAAGGCGAAGGCAGCUUGCUAGAACAGUUCUGACACUCAUGGACCAAAGCGUGGGUAGCGAAAGGGAUUAGAUACC
This 263-nucleotide ribosomal RNA is filed under the name uncultured bacterium. RNAcentral's name for it is "partial 16S ribosomal RNA". It matches the Rfam family "Bacterial small subunit ribosomal RNA", at positions 524 to 786 of the family's 1533-position model. The record is from RNAcentral.